RNAcentral lists this ribosomal RNA (453 nucleotides) under uncultured bacterium. RNAcentral describes it as "bacterial SSU rRNA". It matches the Rfam family "Bacterial small subunit ribosomal RNA", at positions 28 to 478 of the family's 1533-position model. The record is from RNAcentral.
GAUGAACGCUGGCGGCGUGCUUAACACAUGCAAGUCGAACGAAGCACUCUAUUUGAUUUUCUUCGGAAAUGAAGAUUUUGUGACUGAGUGGCGGACGGGUGAGUAACGCGUGGGUAACCUGCCUCAUACAGGGGGAUAACAGUUGGAAACGACUGCUAAUACCGCAUAAGCGCACAGGAUCGCAUGAUCCGGUGUGAAAAACUCCGGUGGUAUGAGAUGGACCCGCGUCUGAUUAGCUAGUUGGCAGGGUAACGGCCUACCAAAGCGACGAUCAGUAGCCGACCUGAGAGGGUGACCGGCCACAUUGGGACUGAGACACGGCCCAAACUCCUACGGGAGGCAGCAGUGGGGAAUAUUGCACAAUGGGGGAAACCCUGAUGCAGCGACGCCGCGUGAGCGAAGAAGUAUUUCGGUAUGUAAAGCUCUAUCAGCAGGGAAGAAGAAUGACGGUAC